RNAcentral lists this ribosomal RNA (396 nucleotides) under uncultured bacterium. RNAcentral describes it as "partial 16S ribosomal RNA". It matches the Rfam family "Bacterial small subunit ribosomal RNA", at positions 523 to 918 of the family's 1533-position model. The record is from RNAcentral.
AUACGUAGGGUGCAAGCGUUAAUCGGAAUUACUGGGCGUAAAGCGUGCGUAGGUGGCUAAUUAAGUCAAAUGUGAAAUCCCCGAGCUUAACUUGGGAAUUGCAUUCGAUACUGGUUAGCUAGAGUAUGGGAGAGGAUGGUAGAAUUCCAGGUGUAGCGGUGAAAUGCGUAGAGAUCUGGAGGAAUACCGAUGGCGAAGGCAGCCAUCUGGCCUAAUACUGACACUGAGGUGCGAAAGCAUGGGGAGCAAACAGGAUUAGAUACCCUGGUAGUCCAUGCCGUAAACGAUGUCUACUAGCCGUUGGGGCCCUUGAGGCUUUAGUGGCGCAGCUAACGCGAUAAGUAGACCGCCUGGGGGGUACGGUCGCAAGACUAAAACUCAAAUGAAUUGACGGGG